CUCUGGGACAAGCCCUGGAAACGGGGUCUAAUACCGGAUAUGACUGUCCAUCGCAUGGUGGAUGGUGUAAAGCUCCGGCGGUGCAGGAUGAGCCCGCGGCCUAUCAGCUUGUUGGUGAGGUAGUGGCUCACCAAGGCGACGACGGGUAGCCGGCCUGAGAGGGCGACCGGCCACACUGGGACUGAGACACGGCCCAGACUCCUACGGGAGGCAGCAGUGGGGAAUAUUGCACAAUGGGCGAAAGCCUGAUGCAGCGACGCCGCGUGAGGGAUGACGGCCUUCGGGUUGUAAACCUCUUUCAGCAGGGAAGAAGCGAAAGUGACGGUACCUGCAGAAGAAGCGCCGGCUAACUACGUGCCAGCAGCCGCGGUAAUACGUAGGGCGCAAGCGUUGUCCGGAAUUAUUGGGCGUAAAGAGCUCGUAGGCGGCUUGUCACGUCGGUUGUGAAAGCCCGGGGCUUAACCCCGGGUCUGCAGUCGAUACGGGCAGGCUAGAGUUCNGUAGGGGAGAUCGGAAUUCCUGGUGUAGCGGUGAAAUGCGCAGAUAUCAGGAGGAACACCGGUGGCGAAGGCGGAUCUCUGGGCCGAUACUGACGCUGAGGAGCGAAAGCGUGGGGAGCGAACAGGAUUAGAUACCCUGGUAGUCCACGCCGUAAAACGGUGGGCACUAGGUGUGGGCAACAUUCCCACGUUGUCCGGUGCCG
RNAcentral lists this ribosomal RNA (703 nucleotides) under Bacterium PE_IPFFC12. RNAcentral's name for it is "bacterial SSU rRNA". It matches the Rfam family "Bacterial small subunit ribosomal RNA", at positions 136 to 848 of the family's 1533-position model. The record is from RNAcentral.